UAGCUGAGGAAAAGGAAACCAACAGGGAUUGCCCCAGUAACGGCGAGUGAAGCGGCAACAGCUCAAAUUUGAAAUCUGGCCUCGGCCCGAGUUGUAAUUUGUAGAGGAUGCUUUUGGGUGCGGUGCCUUCUGAGUUCCCUGGAACGGGACGCCGGAGAGGGUGAGAGCCCCGUACAGUUGGACACCAAGCCCUUGUAAAGCUCCUUCGACGAGUCGAGUAGUUUGGGAAUGCUGCUCUAAAUGGGAGGUAUAUCUCUUCUAAAGCUAAAUAUAGGCCAGAGACCGAUAGCGCACAAGUAGAGUGAUCGAAAGAUGAAAAGCACUUUGAAAAGAGGGUUAAACAGUACGUGAAAUUGUUGAAAGGGAAGGGCUUGUGACCAGACUUGCGCCGGGCUGAUCAUCCGCGGUUCUCCGCGGUGCACUCUGCCCGGCUCAGGCCAGCGUCGGUUCUAGCAGGGGGACAAAAGCGUGGGGAACGUGGCUCCUCCGGGAGUGUUAUAGCCCCUCGCUCAAUACCCCUGCCGGACCGAGUCCGCGCUCG
This 541-nucleotide ribosomal RNA is filed under the name Coniochaeta sp. RNAcentral describes it as "LSU rRNA". It matches the Rfam family "Eukaryotic large subunit ribosomal RNA", at positions 48 to 599 of the family's 3401-position model. The record is from RNAcentral. Lineage: Eukaryota; Fungi; Ascomycota; Sordariomycetes; Coniochaetales; Coniochaetaceae.